GUACGGUAUAGAAAUAUACUGGUCAGUUCGGCUGGAUCGGUGACAGGUGUUGCAUGGUCGUCGUCAGCUCGUGUCGUGAGAUGUCGGUUAAGCCUUUAACGAGCGCAACCCUCAUUGCAUGUUACUUUUUCAUGCGAGACUGCCCUGGGUUAACAGGGAGGAAGUGGGGAUGACGUCAGAUCAGCAUGGCCCCUACGCCUUGGGCUACACACGUGUUACAAUGGUCAGUACAAUGGGUCGCAAUACCGUAAGGUGGAGCUAAUCCGUGAAAACUGAUCUCAGUUCGGAUAGAGGGCUGAAACUCGCCCUCUUGAAGUUGGAAUCGCUAGUAACCGCAAAUCAGCACGUUGCGGUGAAUACGUUCCCGGGUCUU
Molecule: ribosomal RNA, 373 nt
Filed under: uncultured bacterium
Lineage: Bacteria
Description: bacterial SSU rRNA
Rfam family: Bacterial small subunit ribosomal RNA
Source: RNAcentral